RNAcentral lists this ribosomal RNA (253 nucleotides) under uncultured bacterium. RNAcentral's name for it is "partial 16S ribosomal RNA". It matches the Rfam family "Bacterial small subunit ribosomal RNA", at positions 524 to 776 of the family's 1533-position model. The record is from RNAcentral.
UACGGGGGGGGCAAGCGUUGUUCGGAUUCACUGGGCGUAAAGGGUGCGUAGGCGGUCGGGUAAGUCUGACGUGAAAUCUUCGAGCCUAACUCGGAAACUGCGUCGGAUACUAUUCGGCUAGAGGAAUGGAGGGGAGACUGGAAUACUUGGUGUAGCAGUGAAAUGCGUAGAUAUCAAGUGGAACACCAGUGGCGAAGGCGAGUCUCUGGACAUUUCCUGACGCUGAGGCACGAAAGCCAGGGGAGCAAACGGG